RNAcentral lists this long non-coding RNA (10370 nucleotides) under Homo sapiens (human). RNAcentral describes it as "non-protein coding lnc-LAMB3-2:5". The record is from RNAcentral. Lineage: Eukaryota; Metazoa; Chordata; Mammalia; Primates; Hominidae.
CUUUUCCUGUGCCACAGCAACCAAGAAGGUCACAUGUUCCAGAAGCUGCAGCUAUAAGCCACCACGUAAGAUGUUCCUUUGCUCUUCCUUCAUCUUCCACCAUGAUUGUGAGGCCUCCCCAGCCAUGCUGAACUGGGGUAACCACCACAGGCCCACAGGCUAAAAUUGAGCUGGAGUAAGUGGCAACAGAGAGUAUUUAUUGUCCCCUAAGAGCCCUGAUCCACUGACUCACACCUGCCUCUCUGCUUGUCCAGAGAGGUACAGAGAAGUAAUGACUUGGACUUGAGGAAGGCCCUUGUAGGACAUGUGAAUGCCAGUGCUCAUGGAGAAAGGUGGAGGAAGAGAGCCAGAGUGCAGUUCACCUCUGGGAGAGCAGACCAGAGUGGCUUCCGUGGGCACAUGCUGGAUUGAAGUGAGAAGACGUGACUACUAAAGUUGAGGCCCCAAGUCUCAGCUUCUUCCCCCUCCAAAGCAUGAGUGGAGGAUUCACUUAAGGCCACUUUGGGGAUCAAACAUAGGCACCUGCCUGUCCAAGGGGGUCUAAGUCACAGUACAGAAGUGGUUUGCAAAGGCUGGUGGGAUGGUGUGGCAGGCCUGUGGAGUUGAAUAAAAAUCCUGAUGUCCUUCCUGGCAUGAAGAAUGGAGCUGCCAAGCUGCCCCCAGGAGAAGCGUGCUGCCUAUGCAUCUCACUGGACUUCUGUGUACAGAAGAAAUAUUGGUGGUUUGACCAAACGCUCGGGCUCCCCACGACUCCCGUUGUUAUAUGGGAAAGAACAAGGUCUGGCCCACCUCUCUAAACCUUUAUAAAGGAGCCAGCUGGUGCCUGCCACUUUGUUGCCCACUGGAGAAGACUGGCUGCAUGCAUGUCAUGCACCAUAUCCCAGCAGCAAAGGCCCUGAUUUUUUUUUUUUAUCAGCUGUAGUUCAUUUGUAAAUUAUUAACCUCUCAAGAGCCAAUAUUUGCUCAGGGCCUUCCAGUCCAUCUCAAGUGUCGAUACUGUGCUUGGGAGAUUGCGGGGGAGGAUGGUGCAGGGAGCUCGGUCUGACACGCUGUUGUUGGGGAGGAAAAUGCUCUUUGUCUAGCAAGAGAGGAGGAUCUGACUCAGCAGCAGUAGAACCUCAGGCCAGCCCUUUUCCCACCUGGGGCUGAGGAGACUCAGCCAUGUGAGAGUCCACAUAGAAGCAGGGGUCCUCAGUGCUCUCUAACCACAUUGAGAGUCUACUCUGCCCCAAACCACUCCACUAUGCCAGGCUGAGGCUUUUUAGGCCAAUAUAUAUCUAAGGAUAAAAUGAAGGGAGUUCUGGAUGAUGCAUUAAGAACACUCCUGAGACAUUAGAGCCUUGCUUUGGAUUUGAAGAGGGGAACUUUACUUGUCACCCUGGGUGAAGUCAAUUCCUCUGUGAAUCUCCCCAGUGAGACUGUGGGUACCUUAGGAGAAGAGACAGUGACUUAUUCAUCUCAGAAUCCUCAGACUAGAAUAAGGCCUGGGAUUUAUCAGGCAUUCAGUAAAUUCUUGCUGAAUGAGCAAUUAACUUGAGGUCUUCAGGGUUCCUGGGACCAAAGAGUUGGCCUUUAUAAAAGCACAUUCGUAAUUCAAUCUGUACAAGUAGUACAAUUCAGUAUGGUAUGUUACAAGUCAGUUAUUGAAUAUUACACAUUGCCACAAUGAUCUGUCAGUAAUAAAGACACAGUCCAGAAAAUAUUCUCUCUCGUAGGUCACAACAGUUGACCAGUUGACUCCAAUGAUCUCAUUAAAUAGCUUGAGGUUGAAAAUAACCUAGUGUUUCUCUUACCCAAUACACUAUUUGCUGAUUGAACAACAUAAAGUUUCCAAAAGUGGAAAGGGCAUUAUGAGGAAAGGUAUUAAAAUAAAGCUAUCAUCUUAACUUUUAAUAAAACUGUGUACAAUACUGAAGAUACUUUAUAGCAAGAUGAAAAAAUUAGAGUCCUUGGUGUUGUGCAGAUGAAUUCUAGUCCCAGCAUUAUUCCAUAAUAUGUACCUUGGGCAAAUUAACAACUCUGAGACUCAGUUUUCUCAUCUUUAAAAUGGGGAUACUCUAUCUACCUCUUAAAGUUAUUGUGAGGACUGAAUGAGUUAAUACUUGGAGAGGACUCAGAGCAGGGCAUAGUUAAGGACUCAGUAAGAGCUAACUUUACUAACAUCGCUACCAUCACAAAUAAUAAGUAAGAAAACGUACCUUGAGGAUCUUGCAUAGUACCUGGCAUAAAAUAGGCUCUUAAGAGAUGAAAGCCAAUUAGUACUAGUAAUUAGAGUUUAAAAUGAUAAGAUUUUAAGGCAUGUAGAAAACAAGAAUAUCUUGUGUUUCUGGCAACCAAAGUUAUUCUAUUCCAGGCCAUGGGGAUCUCCUAUUUCUCCAGAAAUAUGGAGGCUACAAGAGAGAACUAACAUUUAUUGGGCACUUACAUUGUACUAGUUACUGUGCUAGGGGCUUUAAAAACAGUUUUUCCAUUUAAGCAAAUAAUCCUAAUAUUUUAGAUAAUUUACCUGAAACCCACCGAGAUGACGUAUUUCUCCAAUGGUUACAUUAGCUAAUACUGGUAGGACUAAGAUUUCAACCCAGAUAUGUUUGGACUCUAUAGCCUGUAUGCUUUCCACUUUUCAGAAACUUAUAAACAAAACAGAGCAAAAACUUUCUGGAACUCUCUGGAGCCCUUGGCUGUUCUCUGGACCUUCCUUUGCUGUGUCUUGGGGCAGGCACAUCUUGGCUUAGGCUGAGCUUUUCUAUUUGCCAAAAGAGUCAUCUCAGAGGGCACAGCCUGGAGUGCAGCUCAACAAACAUAUGUGUAACAGCCGAGUGCCACCACGUUAAGAACUGGACUUACAAGAUGGAUAGGACCUGGUGGCAGCUGUCCUUGAGGAAGCCAGAGCCUGGAGAGACAGAUCUCAUGUAAUUACUUAAUCCCCAUGAAAUGGUGGGAGGUAAAGGGCAGGAAUGUGCACAGGGGGCUGCAGGAGCACAGAGGAGGACACUAGGGGAGUCUGGACUUUGAAGGAAGAUUUCCUGGAAGAGAAGAUGCCAGAACUGAGUGUUGAAAGUUUAGUAAGAGCCAGCUGAAGAAAAGUGAGAGGAGGGUUCAGGAGAGGGGAGAGCAGGAGCAAAGACACAGAGAUGAGAGAUAGCAUAUAGUGUCAUGGAACUCCAGGCCAUUCAGAUUUAUCAAAGUGGAAAGUGCAAUGCAGAAGUGAGUAGACAGAGAUCAAGCAGAAGGGGCAGGCAAGGCCAGGGCUCAGAAGUCCUUAUAUGCAUGUCUGGGAGUUUGAACCUUAUCCUGAACAUGCUGGCAGAGGAGUGAUAGGUAGGAAGCUUGGAGUUGAGGUGAGCAAGGCUGGAGGUAAGGGGUUAUGGGUGGCUAUUGUCCAGGGGAAAAGAUGAUGAAGGCAGUGAUAAUGGAAAUAGGGCAGAAUGCAGAGAUGCAGGAAAUGUUAGGAGGCUAAGCCUUCAGGAUUUGCUGGUUAAUUGGGUGUGGGAGAGAGGGAAAGAGAGGUUCAAGAAUGAUUUCCAAGAAUUUUGCCUUAGACAACUAGGAUUGAUGGUGCAAUUAACAGAAUGUUAAGAGGAGAAGAAAGCUUACGAGAAAUGUAAAGCAUCAAUUGUUGUACUUAUUGAAUCUGGGGUGCUUGUAGGACACCUGAGUGAGAUUGGAAGUGCAGGGGGCAGUGUACCCUGAGGCUAAAACUAACAGCCACAUCCAAGCUCAGAAAUUAGCAAUGACUAUGAAUGUCUCUUCUUAACACUACCUGCCUCACUUUCUUACUCUCUAUUUACAGGUUAUAGCAGAGUACCAAUAUUCUGCAGAAAACCAAAACCUCACCUGCAUUCCUACUCCUAUCAUGAUGUUCUGCCCCCCGGGACCCUUGUUUAUGCUGGUCUCUCCUUUUGAAAGAACGUUACCCUUUUCUUCACCCAGCAAAUUCUUACUCAGACUUCAAGACUCAGUUCAGAGUCUGGGGAUGAAUAUUCUACAAAUGGCCCCCAGGAUUGUCAUGGUCCUCACGGCAGGUGAUUUGCUCUUGAACAAUUAACAGAGUGAAGGCUGUGUUCCAUCUCCUCACAGUCUCCCGCUGGGCAUCCUUGGGAGCACAGGAGGAGAAAGGCUUUCUUCUUGAUCCUAUUACUGCUGCCCAGCAUCAAGAAGGAUUAAUUAACCCACCAGGUUUUGCUUCAUUACGAGGAAAAAAGAAAAGCCAGUGACAGUGGAAUUCAAACAUUGAACAGGCAAAGGAAUCAGUGCUCAAGCACCUUAUGAACAUUUCGAAGACUUAGCUGGGCGGUGUGGCGCAAUGUAAAGUAGGGUGACUUGGUGCAAGUUACACACCCCUGCAGCCCUGUUUCUUCAUCCUCAGAGUUCACACUUCAAUUCUACAAAUUGAUGGCCUAUUCUGAGCUAAGCCCCGCCCACUCUGAACUAAGCCCCGCCUACUUUGAUUCCCUACUCUGAGCUAAGGAACAGUCUUUCAUCCCCAUGAAAGCUUUCUGUCUAGAAGGAACUAAAGAGCAUAAUUAUACUUAUUUUCCAGUGCUGUUGUUAGAAUUAAUUAAAUGUGGUAUAGCAUGUGAAAGUACUCUGUAACUAAACAUUGUAUAAAUGUUAAUUAUUCUCAUUUUCAUAUUUGAUAUUCAGGCAUUCAAACAAUUAUUGAGCACUUAUUAGGGCAAAGAACUAUACUUGCAGCUAACAGUUACGUGAAAGAAUUCGAAGACAUUGUUUUUGCUGUUUAGGAAGGUCCCACAUGGCAAAGCAAUUAAGACACACACAUGAAAUAAUUAAACAACAAAGUUGGGCCUAAAGAAGUUUCAUCUCACGUGCUAAUCAUGGCUGGCUGGCUAUGGCUAUCUAGAGUAUUAUGCUGAAAAUGAUUCUGAAGCUCUUUCUGGGCUCAAUUGAAAAGGAUGAUCUGGUGGAUUAGCAAUGAAUGCCAUGGGCAUAAGUUGGGCAUGUAGUGGUACGUGGACUAGUUGUUUAUAGUGCCUAAUACAAGGUAGCAAACAUAAUGAUAAAAGUAACUGUUAUUGAAAUUCAGCCAAGAUUGGUAUCAGUGUAGGCUUGUAUGACUGACAAAGAAUGUAGAGGAGCUAAAGAGUAAGCUUGACCUUGAAUUACGAGUAGGACUUCAGUGAAGAUAGGAGGCUAUUUCAGAAUGCAGGGCAUCUGGUAGGGAGUAGUGGAUGGUGGAGAGUAAGGAACUCAGUACUUGAUUCAAAGCCUGGGUCUCCCAGAAGUGAGCUGUGUGGCUUGGGCCACUUUAUCUCCUGAGGUCUCAGAGUUUUCAUGUAUAAAAUUGUAGAACUUGUCUUGAUGGUUUUGAACAUUCUUUCUAAUUCUGCACAACAGUCCAUUUGUGGGUUAGAUGAGCCUUUACCAAACUGUAUUUCAUGGAACAAUGGUCCCAAGAGCUGUUCUGUGAAAAGUAAGUUUCAUCAUCAAAUAAUUUUGAGAAAUUCUGAAUCCUAUAUACGUGUUGAUUCCUAUUUCUUUCCUUCCAUUCUUUCUUGAGUCCACUCUGAUUGGUCCUUAAAGUUGGAGUUUAUUUUUAUCAUUAUUGUUAUUGUCAUGGUAGUAAAGAUGGACAAAGGCAGAUUCCACAAACAUCUCAAAAUAAAAGUCAAUAGGACUUGGUGAUUAAUUGCAUAUAGGCAAUGCAGGAGAGGGUCUAAGCAAAGAUGUCAAGUAUUUCAAACUAGAAAAUGAAUAGAAUAAGCCAGGGAAUUAUUGAUGGACAAAAGAAGUUGAACCAGGUUGGUGGACAUGGAGCAGGGGUGCGGAGGGAGAAUACCAUCCUGCAGGCUAGGUACCUCAUGGGUACAGGAAGAGAUGCAUCUAGGUUACUCACAGCUAUGGAAGAUUAUUGCAAAGGUGUAAGAAAAGGUGAAGGAGAUCAUCUCAGCAGCAGCAGCAACAGCACAACGUUGGGGUCUAUAGAGACCACCUUAGUUUGCCUAAGACUAAGAAAUUUCUCAGGACACGAGCCUUUCAGUUCAAAAACUAGGUAAGUUCUGUACCAAAAAAGUUAGUUGUAUUAUUAGGGGAUCAAUUUUCCUUAUUCUAGAAUGGACAGCUGGAUUCAUAAUCAAAGGACAAUGUGUUGUUGCCAGCAAUUUCUGUUGAGCAUUUUAUGAACAGAGUUUAGAUUAGCCCCUUAACAGAUGGCUGGUGUCUCCUGUGCCUAGCACAUGUAGAAGCAUCUUUAGCCCGUCCAACCCUCUCUGGUCUUCCUGGCUAUGGCUGGGUAACAUUUGGAUCCACCUCUUAAUGGAGUAUGCCAUAUGCAGUGGGAAAAACAGAGAGGACUGCUUUCAUACCAUAUUCGUGUGAUAGAAUGAAUAAUUCUUUCAUGGGUUCCUCCCCGAGUCCAUCCAGUUCAGAGGAAAGAUGAUUAGGACUUUCCUCCAGCUGACUUUAAGGGAGGGUGGGAUGUUUAGGUAGAGGAGUAUUUACAAAAUCAGGGGAAAGAGUUGCAUUUGGGCUUAAAAAAUUCCUGAAUAUUCUUUUUUAAAAGAAAUGCCUGGUCAAAUACCGUAGGGAAUUACUGAGGAAGAACUUGAAAGAGGGAUGGAGAAGGAAGAGGAAAGAUAGAAAAGAAAAGAGACAGUAGGAGAGAAAAAGAGAGGAGAGAGAGAGAGAGAGAGAGAGAGAGGUUUGUCACAACCAGGUUUUCCCACCCCUACCUAGGGCAUUAGAACCUUCCACUAUUGCAGCUAAGAGAAUAGAGCAUGUGAACAGCUUGUACAUUUACUUAAACACCAAUGGUUUCAGCUUCUCAUACUGCACUCUACUCAAAGGUACAGUAGAUUCAGGGACCUGUCACUUAAGACAACUCUUUACCUUCCAACCAACCAAAGUGCAUUUUACAAUGUCAAUGCCAUUUCACAGAGAGGGGCAUUCAUCAGGGGUGUCUGAAGUCCAGGCCAGCCUGAGAAGGAGGUGCCAAGGCUUGGGAGUUGAGGGACCCAGGUCCUAGCUUUCUCUCCACUGGGCUCCAUUGUGUGAUCAUGGGCAACUGGCUAAACAUCUCUGGACUUUGUUCUUCCAACCUUUAAAAGGAAGCAAGGACCCACUCUUUUUGUUGAAAGAAGCUGGAGAGAGUAACUGCUGAGCCCAGGGAGAGGAGGGCAGAUGCAGGGCCAUUGUAGCCUGCUCUCACGAAUAUAAACACUCUAGAGUUUGGUCAACCCCAAAGGCCCUUUCUUCCUUAUUGGUUACUCAGGAUUUCCAAUCACCUGGGGCUCUCAAAAGUCAACAGGGGCCACUCAGCUAACCUCAGGGGUUUGAUAUAACCGGCAGGUGAAAGAGGCCAAAAAGACCUCCCCAGACUUCAGCGAGUUGUCAGCCCUUAAGCCCUUGAGCCUGCAGCAGGGGAUGAAAUAUCCUUUGGUUUUCAAAUCCCAUUGACCCAGGGCUUAUCCACGAAGGCAGGCUGGAACCUGGAGCAUAGGGCGAAGGCAGAUGUGGCAGGUUGGCUCUAGGCAGAAUCACUUGGUAGACCCGUCCUCGGCACCUGAUUCUACAUCUGGAAAAGUGAGUGAUAACUGUUGGAGUAAUAGUCCUCAGGAGUGCCUGUUAAAAGGGAUCAAAGCUUUGUGCUAAAGGGGAUCCUAGGAAGUAUAAGAGAAAUAGCUGAGAGCAGCCAAAAGGUACAGGAUGUGGAAUAGGGGCACGGAGGCAGCGCUGGUAACCAGCCCUGCACACACUCAUUAAGGCCCAACCAUGAGCUGUGACCAGAGAGUUGGGAUAUGCAUUUGGAAGUUGAAGUCCAAGUUUACAUCUUUCAUUGUGAGUCCUCAGUGGACCCAUCUACCUGUUGAUGGUGAACAGGUCCAAGACUGUAAUGAGGUGUAAGUACCAUUAGGUGGCGAUACAUGAAUGCCUUUCCCAUCUGGUUCCAAAAGAAGAGCACUAUGGGUUUGUCUCCCAGCUCAGGCUUAUAAGCAGCACAUCCAUGUUCCCUGCAUCUGUAGAUCAGCUUUAGCACCCACAGUGCCAGCUGCAAGUGGGGGUAGUGUGUGUGCGUUUUGAGCGCGUGCAUGCACAUAUGCCAAUUGUUGUGUAUUUUCACCUCAAUGUCGGUGACCAGCAAAUGAGGCAUCAGUGACACCCUGGCAGCAACUGACUACUUGGGCCACACUCUGAAAAUGGAUUGCCUCUGUUUUCUCUGCUUGAUCUUCACUGGGGGAAAAGAGUUAAAUUCGAUUUCCAGGAGCUCUCCAUGAGAGCCAACUUCAGCACAAGUUCCCAUUUCCAGAGAGGCUGCCGAGUCUCUCAUUUGUAAAGGCCUCCUCCCUUUGCCCUGAGCGGACUAGCCUUCCCCUACUUCUGCCUCUUUGCCUCUGUGUCACAGUUUUGUGGUCGAUGACACCCUCUCCUUAUCCUGCACCUCCUCCUGGUCUUGCCGACAUGGCUCAAUACUUUGUGCCUAAAUACAGGACUUGUACCAGUCUCCUAUGUCCCCGUGGAGGGCCCAGUGACAAAGGAAAAAAACCAGCCUUUCUCUGCUCAUCUGGGUGCAUAGGGCUCACCCUGAGGGAAGCUGGAAGUGGCAGCAAAUUUUUGUUUAUAAAUAAAAACAAAGACAACUUGUCGUUCCAAAGGAAAAUGCCCCCUGGUGAAAGAAACACUUAAAACCACUGAAGAAUUAGUUUCGUUUUGUCCUUGGUGGCCACCCUGUCAGCAGGUUUCCUUGAUCUUAUGUUGGUGACAGAGUCUCAAACUGAAUGCCAAGGGAAGGAUUCCACACAUAUUCCUUGGAUUUGUAGCUGAGGUACAGCCCUGGGCCUGGGGACAUGGAGAAGACCCAGCCUGCAAAACUCAAUCAUGGCUCUGCAGAUUUUACCCAGUUUGGAGAUCUACUAGCUACCACACUCGACACACACACACACACACACACACACACACACACACACUAUGAUGGAUGUCAUUCUUGUCUGCAACAUGCUCUAGUGACUGGGCCCAAGUCAGGCACAGCUUCUUGUGUGAACUGAAACACCAUUCUUUUCUUCCCUGUGUGAAAAAACAGAAUACAAGGGUGAGUGAUCUUAUGAAAACACUACUGAAUCUGUUCCAUUUUACAUAUUCACAAAAUUGAGGCCACUUAAUGUAAUAGAUAAAAGUAAUACAGAGACAACUACAAUAGGAAACAAAAGGUGAGAAAUGACAGAAGAAACAACACUCAGUGAAUACUGGGACUCAAGAGCAGGAGCAAUGGCAGCCACUUUGGAGUAGGAAGGUGAGCACUAGGAAGGGCCCCCCACCCCCUGCAAUAAGCUUUGAUGGACGGAUGGAAUUUUUUUCAAGGUAUUCUUUUUUAAAAAACAUCUUUAUUGAGAUAUACUUCAAAUACUAUAAAAUUCACUCAUUUAAAGCAUACAAUGCAGUGGUUUUUAGUAUAUUCACAGAGGUACACAACCAUUGUCACAAUCUAAGUUUAGAACAUUUUUGUCGCCUCUAACAGAAACAUGCAGUCAUGAGCAGUCAGCCCCAUUCACCCCUCACUCCCCAGCCCUAGGCAACCACUAGUCUACUUUCUGUCUCUAUAGAUGUGCCUAUUCUAGGUAUUUUAUAUUAAUGGAAUUAUAGUUUUUUGUGGCUGUCUUCUUCAACUUAGCAUAAUGUUUUCAAGGUUUGUCCAUGUUGUAAAAGGUGUCGGUACUUCAUUUCUUUUCAUGGCCGAAAAAUAUUCCAUUGUAUAGAUAUUCCCCAUGUUUGUUUAUUCAUUCAUCUAUUAAUGAACAUUUGGGUUGUUUCCACUUUUUGCCUAUUAUGAGAAAUGGUGCAGUUCUUUCAUCUGCAUGUUUUUAUGUGGACAUGUUUUCAUUUCUCUUGGGUGUAUACCUAGGAGUGGAAUUGCUAGGUCAUAUAUUAUCCCUAUGUCUAACUUUUUGAGGAAUUGCCAAACUGUUUUUCAAAGUGGCUGCACCUUACCGCAUUCCCACCAGCAAUAAAUAAGGGUUUCAAUUUAUCAGUGUCCUUGUUAUAGUCUGUCUUUUUGAUGAUAGACAUCCUGGAGGGUGUGAAGUGGUAUCUCGUUGUGGUUUUGAUUUGCAUUUCCCUGAUGACUAAUGAUGUUGAGCAUCUUUUCAUGUGCUUAUUAGCUAUUUGUAUUUUUUUUUUUUGGUGUUGGGGGACAUAUGUCUAUUCAAAUCCUGGGCCCAGGUCAGGCACAGAUGCUUUUUAAUUCGGUUGUCUUUUUAUUUUUGAGUGGAUGGCUGAGUUUUUGAGAGGUGUAGGAGUGUAGGAGCAAAAGCUUAGAUGUGGAAAAGGUAGGCACUUGUAAGGAGUAAGAAGUAAAACAGAUUGGCUUCAGAGUGUAGCAUUUUCAUGAGAGAUGUGACUCUGCAUUUAACAGAAAAGGC